GAAAAUGUUGUGCGUCCAUUAUUUUCUUAAAGCGAAAGGAACAUUUCGGACGACCUAAUAGUUGCUGUAUCUGGGAGGAUUCAACUUACGUCUGCUUUUAUUUUAUCUUUGAAAUCACACGUGUAUACGAGUUUGGUAAAAGCUGUAAGCAGAUCGUAGAUGAAAUUGCUUUUUGGAUAAAUCGAAGCGGUCGUCGGUUUAUCUUAUCUUCUGUUUUAAAAAUCCGGAAAGAUAUCUUCGUUAUUUAAUACGGGGACUUGUAUGACCUCUAUCGAAUUUUUCAACUUUUUUUAGAUAAUAAUUCUAAAUAGACGUUCUAUCAAUAAUGUCAGAAGCGAAUGAUCGCGCGAUGUGAUUGAUAUUGUGAAAAAACGAUUUCUGUUCUGACUUGUAGUUUAAUAAAAAUUAGAUAAUUCCAGGAUAAACAUCGUAUGGUGGGUUCAGAGUAGUAAAAGUUAAUCGAGUAGAUACUUAUGUAUAUUGUAUCCCUAUUAGGAUGUCAUUCUUGACACACGGUUCCUUUACUGAUUUUGGUAAUUUCAUCGUUUCCGGCUGAAAUGGAGAACGGAAGUUUGGCCAGAGAGUUUGACAAUCGGCGGAAACGUUACCACUCCGUUGCAUUGCCAAAAAAAGUAGAGCGACGACAACCUCGUUUUACAAAUUACCCGAGAACCGGUCCUCGGAUAGAAAUUUCUGUAUCGAAAAUUAUUUGUCCGUUUCCCUACUGAUAGAUAUUAAUUUAGCUGAGAUAUUAAGACGCAGAACGAUUUUAACGAUCGUUAAUGACGACUGUUGAAAACAUAGCAAGAAAUGUAUACAGUAAAGAAGUUGAUAAUAUUCGAAUACAAAUAGCAAUUUUUUAAUAAUUCCUUUUCUCCGUCAGUGUAUUUCAAACUGUCCGUUCUAUUGGAAAUAAAAAAGAAAAGAAACGAACGGUGAUUGCCACGUUUAAAAAUUGAAAACAUCAAAUUUUCACGUCUUUUAUCAUUUAAUAUCAUCCUCUGUUUACUGCGGAUGGAAAGGAAUAAUGGUACAAAAUUAGUAAAAUAAGAUUAUCAUAAUCAUAUGCCUUAAAUUCAUUUAUUUACACGCAAAUAUAUUAUAUGUAUACGGAUAGAUAUUUAUAUAUUAUGUAUAUAUCACUGUUAUAUUCCUAUAUAACCCUUGAGAUUUACACGUACAACCUACGUUUUUUUCGACAUCGUCGCUCUCGCGAGAUAUUUCGCUCUCCACUCUUUUGUUCCGCGUCGCGUAUGUUAUUGCAGCAAACGAACGAGAACAGAAUUUGCUGGAAUCCUUUUUCUUUUUUUUAAUCUCGAAGCACUUGAUCCGGCAAUCUUUCGUCGUUUUACACAGUGAUAUAUCAUUUUUUGUCUUUUUAUUUAAUUGUCUUUUAUUGUUGUUUAGAAAUGCUUAAUCGAUUACCGAACCAAUAUCAUAGCCAAGACGGAUAAUAUAGAAAACAUCGAGAAUAUCUGUUUAAAAAAUGACACGCGUUCGAAAAGGCCAUGGCUGUAAAAUCAUUUCGCAAACUCGAUAAAGGCUAACAAUAGCGAGUUUAGAAUAUAAAAUAUUGUCGUGUUACGAUUACGAAAAUUUUCAGAACAGUGCACUUGAGAUUAAUGUAAACGGACCUCGAUUAACACAAACCUUGAUUUUCGUGUGUUUACAAUAGAUGGAAUAAAUCUCGAUAGUAUUGCUAGAACACUUCUUGUUCACAUGGACCUAAGUGAUGACGAUUAACUUAUCCACGUGUUUCGCGUCUUGUCUCUGUUGAGCAUUAAAUCGUCAAAGAAUCGUUUGAGAAAAGAUUCAACGCAAAAAGUCUUCUUGUAAAAUGAUCUGAGAGAAUUUCGUUAAAGAAUUCUGCACAGGAUGUGAAAAGAGGUAAUGUUAAAUCUGUUAAAACUUCAUAGUACUACUAAGAUUAAAAAAUAUUAAAUUAAUGUUAAAUUUCAUAUUAAUAUUGUUAUUCAUGCUAUAAUAUUAACAAUACUAUAAUAUUAUUAAUGAUAUCAUGCUUCAUAAAAAUAAGAUUACUACUUGUUAAAAAAUAUAACGAUGAAAUUAUCGAUUUAAUAAUGCUGUUCACUACUGAUUUCUUAAUUUCUAAACUACCUUCUUCCAACACUCUGUGCACCAGACAAAAGUCGAUCUUAAUCUCACUUCUGAAAAAUUAUGCAGUGUUCACAGAUUCAUUUCAUUCGAAUACAAUAUAAAAUUUACUUAAGACAACCUCGAAAAUUAAAAAAAUGACAAGCUUGCGUGCUUAUACUAAAUUUUCGGCUUCAUCGCGUAAAAAAGCCGAACAUGUUUUCAAGAUACAUAUUUUCUCUCUUCUCUCACACUUUCUCUCUCUCUCUCUUUCUCUCUCUCUCUUUCUCUCUCUCUCUUUCUCUCUUUUUAGCUGAUCGAGUAACAAGUAUUCGUUAUUUACAAAUCUAUGAUAGCACAGGUAAUUUCAUGAUCGUGCUACCAUGACUUCCGUUUACAUAACAUCUCCUCUAAAAAAAAUAGUUAAAAAUAAGCAGCACAUAUUUCGAGUUUCGCAUGCAUCUAAUAGUGCCAUCUAUAACCCUGCCUGCCUUGUAACGAUCCAAACUGGCUUCUCUUUACUUCUUUUUCUUUCUUUACAUCGGACUAUUAGCGACCAAAUAGAGUAUAUGAGUUACAUUAAAGUCACAAUCAUUUAAAAGUAAAUGCUUCUCAAUCACAAAUUUUUUUAACGCGAA
Bombus pyrosoma is the source of this 2732-nucleotide long non-coding RNA. RefSeq lists it as uncharacterized. The record is from RefSeq and is a predicted model, not a curated record. The transcript is spliced from 2 exons. NCBI's taxonomy places the organism in Eukaryota, Metazoa, Arthropoda, Insecta, Hymenoptera, Apidae.